GACGAACGCUGGCGGCGUGCCUAAUACAUGCAAGUAGAACGCAGUUGCGAACGGGUGAGUAACGCGUAGGUAACUGCCCCAUAGCGGGGGGUAACUAUUGGAAACGAUAGCUAAUACCGCAUACUGUUAGAUGGACCUGCGUUGUAUUAGCUAGUUGGUGAGGUAAAGGCUCACCAAGGCGACUAUCCACAGCCGACCUGUGAGGGGGAUCGUGCACACUGGGACCGGGACACGGCCCAGACUCCUACGGGAGGCAGCAGGAGGGAAUUUUCGGCAAUGGGCGGAAGUCUGACCGAGCAACGCCGCGUGAGUGAAGAAGGUUUUCGGAUCGUAAAGAUCUGUUGUUAGAGAAGCGGUACCUAACUAGAAAGGGACGGCUAACUACGUGCCAGCAGCCGCGGUAAUAC
RNAcentral lists this ribosomal RNA (407 nucleotides) under uncultured bacterium. RNAcentral's name for it is "partial 16S ribosomal RNA". It matches the Rfam family "Bacterial small subunit ribosomal RNA", at positions 28 to 526 of the family's 1533-position model. The record is from RNAcentral.